UACGGAGGGUGCAAGCGUUGUCCGGAAUCACUGGGCGUAAAGGGCGCGUAGGCGGCUCAUGAAGGCUGUGGUGAAAGUCCGGGGCUCAACCUCGGAUCGGCCGUGGCGACUCGUGGGCUGGAGCACUGUAGAGGCGGGUGGAAUUCCGGGUGUAGCGGUGGAAUGCGUAGAGAUCCGGAAGAACACCAGUGGCGAAGGCGGCUUCCUGGACUGCAACUGACGCUGAGGCGCGAAAGCUAGGGGAGCAAACAGG
This 253-nucleotide ribosomal RNA is filed under the name uncultured bacterium. RNAcentral's name for it is "partial 16S ribosomal RNA". It matches the Rfam family "Bacterial small subunit ribosomal RNA", at positions 524 to 776 of the family's 1533-position model. The record is from RNAcentral.